GGAAGCCAGACCUACUUCACACGGUUCCAAGGAGACUGGCCCUUUCUUCUUCCACCCCGGAAGGUUCAGAGGAGGGAGAGGCUGGCAGUUCAGGCUGAAAAGGAAGAGACAAAGGCGGCCCAGAGGGAGCCUGGCAGACACUGGUGUGCCAGCCUGCCCUGGCCCCCCCAGCCCUCGAGGCCCGAGUGGAGGGGGCUGCGGGGACGCAGGCCUGGCCCCCGUGUUCAUGCCAAGGGCCCAGACCAGCCUGGGAAGAGCCGAUGGGAAGAAGUGGGGCAUGGAACAGCCAAGGCGACGGGAACGGGAGUGAAUUCUCCCCCACAGGGGCGGGCGGGACCGCCUCUUGGCCCAGAGACUUCCUUCAACCACGACCACUGGACUCUGGAAGGCGGGCUGGGGGGCAGGCGACAGGGAGGCCCUGGCAUGGGCCUACCGGGCGGGAGGCGGCUCCGGCCUCCUCCGGGAACCCCGGCGGAGGUGGGGCUCCAGAUGUUCUCCACAUGCUUGGCCCUGGCUCCAGGCAGAGGAAUGUGGCUGCAGAGAGGUGCCAGGAGAGGCCAUGGGGGAGGGCCUGCAACCCGCCCCCCUCGUAGGACCCAGACCUCCCAGGGAGGGGGUCCCAGAGGUCAAGGCCUCCACUGCCCCUGCCUCCAUCUCCUCGUGGGAUGCCACCACAUCCUAUGGCUGAAACUCCUCGCCACUCACUGUGCUCGAGAAGUCACUCAGCGGAUGUUUGCCGGGACCCUUCUAAAGACCAGGCGCCCCAGACUGUGCACAGUGAGCAACAGCGCUGUGCGGGGAGGACCCGCUGCCUGUCCGGGGAGGGGUGCCUCGCAAGGCGACGCAGGCACACGGCAGGUGCAGCCCCCGGGCCUCUGGAGGAGUCCUGUUCGGGGGUGGCUGGCGGUCACAGAGCCCUGACCGCCUGACCUGCCCCGACCUUUGUACUGGUGAUUCCCUUGCUUUUGUUUAUAGCUUGCCGCCCCUCGACGCAUCUCUAAAUAAUCUAUUGUGCUGUU
Molecule: long non-coding RNA, 1019 nt
Organism: Capra hircus (goat)
Lineage: Eukaryota; Metazoa; Chordata; Mammalia; Artiodactyla; Bovidae
Exons: 2
Source: RefSeq, a predicted model, not a curated record